GUUCAGUGAUGUCUUAACAAAUGUCUGACCUGAAAUGUAAUGUGGAUUAUUUAUGUUACUGAGUAA
This is a small nucleolar RNA of Cyclopterus lumpus (lumpfish), 66 nucleotides long. The record is from Ensembl. Lineage: Eukaryota; Metazoa; Chordata; Actinopteri; Perciformes; Cyclopteridae.